This 104-nucleotide transfer RNA is filed under the name Klebsiella michiganensis. RNAcentral's name for it is "tRNA-Tyr". It matches the Rfam family "tRNA". From Rfam's summary of the family: Transfer RNA (tRNA) molecules are approximately 80 nucleotides in length. Their secondary structure includes four short double-helical elements and three loops (D, anti-codon, and T loops). Lineage: Bacteria; Pseudomonadati; Pseudomonadota; Gammaproteobacteria; Enterobacterales; Enterobacteriaceae. The record is from RNAcentral.
GGUGGGGUUCCCGAGCGGCCAAAGGGAGCAGACUGUAAAUCUGCCGUCAUCGUGUAAAUCUGCCGUCAUCGACUUCGAAGGUUCGAAUCCUUCCCCCACCACCA